UAAAAAAUAAUAAUAAAACUAUGAAAAAAUAAAAAACAAAUCAUUUCAUAUAAAUUGUUUAUGAAAAUUAGCAAAACCGUAGUGAUUUUCGUAAUGAAUAUUUGUCUGAAAAAAUCUCUUUUGUAACUAAAUCUCCGUUUUGACAUCACUUUCAUCAUAAUCUGAAAAUAAAAACACCAUCGAAACGAAUACAAAAAUCAAAACAACAACAACAAAAAUUUAUAACAACAAAACCGAAAAUAAUAAUUAAGUUUAGCUCAAAACCAAAAAAACCCAAAACCGGCGUUUUAGGAGGAAUUCGGCGGAAGUGGCAUGUAUUGUGCUCCAACCAAACUACGGAUAAAAAGAAAAAUUUUUUUUUUAUAUAAUUUGAGAACAAAUUUCGCAAAUAAUUUAAAUUGAUUUCUUAAACGAAGUAUCGAAAUUUUAGUACGGAUUACGCAACACUUAAAAAAAAGAAGGAAACCGCUAAGCCGCUGCUAUAAACAGUUUGCAAGGUUUUUAAAACAAGGCUUAUAAGCUAAGCUUACAAGCUCCUUAUAACAAGAGGAAAAAAAGAAACCAAAAAUUAAUGAGAACUAAAAACUGGGAAUAAAGAACGCACUUAGUGAAAUUAGAAACAGUAAGGCAAAAAAACAAAAAAAAAAAAAAAACAAAAAAAACAAAUACUCAAUAAUAACAAAAUUGAAUUUUCAGGAAUUCAAAGAAAGAAAAACCAAUGAUAAUAAUAAUAUAAAACACAUCUGUCCACUAAGAAAACUAGUACAUUUAAAUUAGCACGGCGGAGAAGCUAAACUCUAAAAAAGCAACUUGGUGUGGCCAAAUAUUGGACUGCUAGUGAAGCCAAGACGGUGGAUGUAUUAUUAGCAAACAAAAGACUAAAAUAAAAAAAACAACAACGGAAUUUUGUACACGAAGCAGCACUUUUUAAGCCUUAGUUUAAAAAAAUAAAAAAGCAAACCAAACAAUUUAAAAUUGGAAACAAAACUAAGACCUUUAAUUAAGAAAGGUUAACAUUAACCUUGAGAAUUCCUGCAACUCGAAUACAACUCUGCUUUCUCAUUGUUAAACACUUUUCUCCAAACAGCAACUAAACCAACAGCAGCAGCAAGUUAUUAAAUUUAAAUUAAACAUAAUUUUUAAAGCGAACGAUUUUGUUGUAAUUUUAUUUUUUAAUUUUUUUUUUUUUUACAUAUAUUCUUCCUCCUCGACCCUCAUUCCCUCAGUUAAAAAACAAAUGCAAACU
This is a long non-coding RNA of Glossina fuscipes, 1246 nucleotides long. RefSeq lists it as uncharacterized. NCBI's taxonomy places the organism in Eukaryota, Metazoa, Arthropoda, Insecta, Diptera, Glossinidae. The record is from RefSeq and is a predicted model, not a curated record. The transcript has 2 exons.